ACUGCUCAGUAACACGUGGACAACCUGCCCUUAGGUUGGGUAUAAACCCGGGAAACUGGGUAUAAUAUCCGAUAGGUCUCGAUUGCUGGAAUGCAUCGAGAUUUAAAGCUCCGGCGCCUAAGGAUGGGUCUGCGGCCUAUCAGGUAGUAGUGGGUGUAGCGUACCUACUAGCCUACGACGGGUACGGGUUGUGAGAGCAAGAGCCCGGAGAUGGAUUCUGAGACACGAAUCCAGGCCCUACGGGGUGCAGCAGGCGCGAAAACUUUACAAUGCUGGCAACAGCGAUAAGGGAACCUCGAGUGCCAGGUUACAAAUCUGGCUGUCGAGAUGCCUAAAAAGCAUUUCAUAGCAAGGGCCGGGCAAGACCGGUGCCAGCCGCCGCGGUAACACCGGCGGCUCGAGUGGUAACCGUUAUUAUUGGGUCUAAAGGGUCUGUAGCCGGCCGGAUAAGUCUCUUGAGAAAUCUGGCAGCUUAACUGUCAGGCUUUCAGGAGAUACUGUCUGGCUCGAGGCCGGGAGAGGUGAGAGGUACUUCAGGGGUAGGGGUGAAAUCUUGUAAUCCUUGAAGGACCACCAGUGGCGAAGGCGUCUCACCAGAACGGACCUGACGGCAAGGGACGAAAGCUAGGGGCACGAACCGGAUUAGAUACCCGGGUAGUCCUAGCCGUAAACGAUACUCGCUAGGUGUCGGCCACGGUGCGACCGUUGUCGGUGCCGUAGGGAAGCCGUGAAGCGAGCCACCUGGGAAGUACGGCCGCAAGGCUGAAACUUAAAGGAAUUGGCGGGGGAGCAC
Molecule: ribosomal RNA, 793 nt
Filed under: uncultured archaeon
Lineage: Archaea
Description: bacterial SSU rRNA
Rfam family: Archaeal small subunit ribosomal RNA
Source: RNAcentral